This 305-nucleotide ribosomal RNA is filed under the name uncultured bacterium. RNAcentral's name for it is "bacterial SSU rRNA". It matches the Rfam family "Bacterial small subunit ribosomal RNA", at positions 337 to 634 of the family's 1533-position model. The record is from RNAcentral.
GCCUACGGGACGCAGCAGUAGGGAAUCUUCCACAAUGGGCGAAAGCCCGAUGGAGCAACGCCGCGUGGGUGAAGAAGGUCUUCGGAUCGUAAAACCCUGUUGUUAGAGAAGAAAGUGCGUGAGAGUAACUGUUCACGUUUCGACGGUAUCUAACCAGAAAGCCACGGCUAACUACGUGCCAGCAGCCGCGGUAAUACGUAGGUGGCAAGCGUUAUCCGGAUUUAUUGGGCGUAAAGCGAACGCAGGCGGUCUUUUAAGUCUUAUGUGAAAGCCUUCGGCUUAACCGGAGUAGUGCAUUGGACACU